GACGAACGCUGGCGGCGCGCCUAACACAUGCAAGUCGAACGAGAGAGAGGAAGCUUGCUUCCUUAAUCGAGUGGCGAACGGGUGAGUAACGCGUGAGGAACCUGCCUCAAAGAGGGGGACAACAGUUGGAAACGACUGCUAAUACCGCAUAAGCCCACAGGUCGGCAUCGACCAGAGGGAAAAGGAGCAAUCCGCUUUGAGAUGGCCUCGCGUCCGAUUAGCUAGUUGGUGAGGUAACGGCCCACCAAGGCGACGAUCGGUAGCCGGACUGAGAGGUUGAACGGCCACAUUGGGACUGAGACACGGCCCAGACUCCUACGGGAGGCAGCAGUGGGGAAUAUUGCACAAUGGGGGAAACCCUGAUGCAGCGACGCCGCGUGGAGGAAGAAGGUCUUCGGAUUGCAAACUCCUGUUGUUGAGGAAGAUAAUGACGGUACUCAACAAGGAAGUGACGGCUAACUACGUGCCAGCAGCCGCGGUAAAACGUAGGUCACAAGCGUUGUCCGGAAUUACUGGGUGUAAAGGGAGCGCAGGCGGGAAAGCAAGUUGGAAGUGAAAUCCAUGGGCUCAACCCAUGAACUGCUUUCAAAACUGUUUUUCUUGAGUAGUGCAGAGGUAGGCGGAAUUCCCGGUGUAGCGGUGGAAUGCGUAGAUAUCGGGAGGAACACCAGUGGCGAAGGCGGCCUACUGGGCACCAACUGACGCUGAGGCUCGAAAGUGUGGGUAGCAAACAGG
Molecule: ribosomal RNA, 735 nt
Filed under: uncultured bacterium
Lineage: Bacteria
Description: bacterial SSU rRNA
Rfam family: Bacterial small subunit ribosomal RNA
Source: RNAcentral